CCCUUAGAUGUUCUGGGCCGCACGCGCGCUACACUGACGGAGUCAACGAGUUGUCCUGCAUCGGAAGGUGUGGGUAAUCUUUUGAAACUUCGUCGUGCUGGGGAUAGAUCUUUGCAAUUUUCGAUCUUGAACGAGGAAUCCCUAGUAAGCGUGAUUCAUCAGAUCGCGUUGAUUACGUCCCUGCCCUUUGUACACACCGCCCGUCGCUACUACCGAUUGAAUGGUUUAGUGAGGCCUCGGGACUGGCGCGCUCGAGUAGCAAUACACCUGCGCGCCGGGAACUUGGUCAAACUUGAUCAUUUAGAGGAAGUAAAAGUCGUAACA
RNAcentral lists this ribosomal RNA (324 nucleotides) under uncultured eukaryote. Its description in RNAcentral is "partial 18S ribosomal RNA". It matches the Rfam family "Eukaryotic small subunit ribosomal RNA", at positions 1470 to 1796 of the family's 1831-position model. The record is from RNAcentral.